This is a small nuclear RNA of Nycticebus coucang (slow loris), 144 nucleotides long. RefSeq annotates it as U4 spliceosomal RNA. The record is from RefSeq and is a predicted model, not a curated record. Lineage: Eukaryota; Metazoa; Chordata; Mammalia; Primates; Lorisidae. The transcript has a single exon.
AGCUUUGCACAGUGACAGUAUUGUAGCCAAUGAGGUUUAUCCAAGGCAUGAUUAUUGAUUCUGAAACUGAAACUUUUCCCAAUACCCUGGAUGACAACUUGCACUGUAGUUGGCAAUGGCAAUUUUUGAUGGUAUCUAGGGAGA